GGAGCCGAACGCUCAACCGACUGAGCCACCCGGGCACCCCUGGAAUAACCUCUCUUAAAUACACCUAAGAAAUCUAACAACGAUAUAACAAGCAAACCCUCUGACUCUGUACACGAAACCAAGAAGCCUGAAAUAAGUAAACCUAAUGGAUAUAAGGUUUAUUCGAACUUCUCCAUUUAGCCUUUUAAGGAUACCUAUGCUUCCUGUAUACCGAGGAUGUAUAGACAAGGAUAGAUAUAUGUCUAAUAAUACCCUCAGGCAUAUAACAUUGUAUAGUUUAAAUUUAUAGAGUAUUUUAAGCAAAUAACUUGUUUGAUCUUUAUAAGAAUUCUGCUGAGCUUCAUUAUUCUUGUAUUUUGUCAUGAAAAUGAGGCUUAGAGAAGUUCAGUAACCUCUGCAUGAAAGAUCUGAAUUAAGAGCUAGUGAAAUUGUGAUGCUGCUUUCUUAAAUAUUUUUAUAAAUUGAAUAGUGUAUCUGAAGAAUAGUGUUAAGAGUCCUGGGUUUGCAUCCUGGUUUUGCCAGUUACUGUCUAUAUGAUAUUGCCCAAGUCAUUUAGCCUCUCUUAGUUUCAACUUUCUCAUAUACAAAAUGGGAAUUAAUACACAGUGCUCAAAUAUUUUGCAAAUGCACAGCACUUAGUACCGUAUCUGGUGGAGUUAAGAGCUUGGUACAUGUUAGCAAUGCUGCUGCUGCUUACUUUUCACUAUUAACUGGCCCCACACUUAGUUUUUAUUGUUCUCUAACAUGAAAAUUUGACUCUGUAACUCCAGGUCUUUUCCCUGGUUCUUAAGCAUAUUAUGUAAUUUCUUUCUUCUCCCUUUUCCUGCCUUUUCUCUAACCAUGAGUAUUUUCAGUGUACCUUCCUUCUAGAUUCUGUCCAGGUCUUUCUUAAUGAUACCUAUCUAUACUAUUUAUGCACACAUAUCCUUUGUUCUAAAAUGUGCCUCACUCAGUGUUUGUCUCCACACCUAUACAUAUCCUAGUCCCCAGGCUUCGAAUGCCUUUCUGCUCCUUACCUGAAGUUGAGAAUUAACACUGAACUGGCAUGCUCAUUCCUUGGGGAAACCUUGCUUAACUGUCCGUCAGAAACAGACUUCCCUGAUUGUUUCUGUGUCCCAGCACCUGCCACAGAAUCCAGACUAUAAACAUCAGAAAAUAAUUGUUGAAGGGAUAAAUGAUUCUUCCUUUCUUUUAUCUCCUAUGACAUUGAUACUUGGGACUAUAAAACUUAGCACAUUUUGUAUAGUGUAACUAAAAAACUGCUGGAUUUAGAGCCAGCAGACUUCAGUUAAAGUCCUGAGCCUUAUAGUAGUGAUGUGAUAUCGGGCGAGUUACAGAGUUUCUAUAAACUUCCAUAUUGUCUUCUAUAAAAUGAAAAGCAGGGACGCUGGCUGGCUGAAUCAUAGAGCAUGCUACUCUAGACCUCGGGGUUGUGAGUUUGAGCCCCAUGUUGGGUGCAGAGAUUACUUA
This is a long non-coding RNA of Lynx canadensis (Canada lynx), 1470 nucleotides long. RefSeq lists it as uncharacterized. The record is from RefSeq and is a predicted model, not a curated record. The transcript has 2 exons. NCBI's taxonomy places the organism in Eukaryota, Metazoa, Chordata, Mammalia, Carnivora, Felidae.